Non-coding RNA from Camellia sinensis, 1365 nucleotides. The record is from RefSeq and is a predicted model, not a curated record. NCBI's taxonomy places the organism in Eukaryota, Viridiplantae, Streptophyta, Magnoliopsida, Ericales, Theaceae.
UUAUUUUCAGCAACCAAAAAAAAUUAGUCGCCAAAUUAGCACUUUUAGCGACUAAUAUUUUAGUCGCCGUUGAUUGAGAUUUGGCAACUAAAAAAAUUUGUCGGCAAAGGGUACAUUUUCUGCGACUAAUCUGAUAUUUUAGUCGCCAAAAAUUUGGGAGGGAAUUUUGAAACGUGGGGCGGGUAUUUUGGUCACACUUUCUCAUUUUCUCCUCUUUCAUCUCUCUUUGAAAUAGGUGCGAGACAAGCGAACAAACAACACCGAACCACUCUCUCUCUCUCGUCUUUGCGUUCGAUUCGAACCCUAGGCACAUUGAAUCAAUCAUUCGGAGUCUCUCUUGGAUCUACAUGGUGAUCACCUCCCCCUUUCUCUUCUCUCACGCCUCACGCCUCACGCCUCUGUGUCUCUUCUCUCUCACGCCUCACGCUGCCCUCCUCUCUGUUACUGGAGCAUCACCGCAAGGGUUAGACGAGCACACCGUAAGGGUUAGCACUACCAUCGCUUUGUCUCGGGUAGUUUAUAUUUGAUGCUGCUGCAAAGUUCUGUGUUGAUAUUGCAACUCAUCAGCAUGGAUGUUGUGUUCUGAAUCGAUGCAUUGAUAAGUCAGUUGGGAAAUAUCAGGAAAAGUUGGUUGCAGCAAUUGCUGCUUAUGGGCUUCUUCUUGCUCAAGAUGCUUUUGGGUAAUUUUUUUUGAAAAGUUUGGAUGAUAUCUUUGAUUGAAUAUUUUUUAUGUACUAUGUAUGCAUGCUUAUGGCUGUAUUUUGAUAGAAUGAUCCACAUAGAAAUAUAUCCAACAAAUGAGUAUUUUUGCUCACUAAAAAGUAAUCAUUUUCAUGCUGUGAUACGGUUUGUUUGCAUUCUUGUUAGGAAUUAUUGAUUUCUCUGUAAUUCUAUUAUUUGUUACUCAAAAUCUUGCUUUUGAAUAUCACUGCAUUUAGUAAUAUGGUAACGGAAAAAAAAAAAAAAAAAAAACAAAGCACUGCCUUAACAUCUUUGUCUCCUUCAAGUUGAUCAUUAAUGUGAGAGGUUCCUUCUGGUUAGAGAAUCAUGCUAAAGUGGCUCUCCCAUCAAUAGCUUGCUCAACCUACCAAUCACUAGAUACAUAAAUUGUUGACUGUUGUGUUUUAUCAUCAGAUGUGGAGAUUAUUCUUCGUAAUUGUUCUUUAAACUGUAAUUGCUAAACAAUGCUUCAUCUUGAAAACCCUGGGCAGACUUUUCGUGCUCCACUGGCCUUCUUACUUAGCAUUAGCUCAUUUCAUUGUGACUAGUUCACCCUUUGUAGUUUGUACUUAGCUAGGCCAUGAUUUAUGUUACAUUGCUAAAAAAGUAUUGAGCAUUGAGAUCUGACACACUAAUGUAACGGAU